RNAcentral lists this long non-coding RNA (956 nucleotides) under Calidris pugnax (ruff). RNAcentral describes it as "lncRNA (ENSCPUG00000012978.1)". Lineage: Eukaryota; Metazoa; Chordata; Aves; Charadriiformes; Scolopacidae. The record is from RNAcentral.
GCUUAAGACUCAGUAUUUCUAAUGGAUUUAUAGGUCUUCCCUGCUGGUGAAGAUUUAUCUACAGAUCUUUCCGUGUCAGAGGAGGAGCUUGCUCUUCUGAAGGUUGUUUGAGUCAAGGAGGUACGUGAUCCCCUCCCUGAAGAGCAUGUCCUGCCAUUGGCAUUAUCUGCUACCUGGAGGGUCUUCUGGCAGGAAGAGGUGUCACUCCCUGCAUUCUUCUGGCUCUUCUUCCAAGCACACCAGAUGGAGAUGAAUGCAGAAACGCCAGGAGAACAGUCUCCACAUGACGUUUAGCCAGUCAGGACUGAAUUUCAUCCGGAAACAUAAACCUCCCUAGUCUCCUUUUCAAACAGAGCUGACACCUUGUCUCUCCUGCAGCACACAAUGUUUCGUCUUUGAAAAUACCAGAGGAGUUUCACUCAUAGUUCUCCUGGGUUUAUGGUUCUAGUGCAUUAACAUUUGCACCACGGGGAGUGCUCACUGGACUCAAGAACAGGGAUUGAAUAGCUCAGGACACAAUGCUUUUAAUACUUCAUCUUGUUUCACAGAACUGCUGCUUGUUGUCGCGGCUGUGCCCAGCUUUUGCUUUUGUCUGUGCCCUUGGUGGUGAAAAGAGAGACAGGCUUUAUCUCAGGUUGGCAGUGGGUUCAGAACAGAGACCCGUACCCUGAACCCAGGCGCUGAAGGGGCUCCUACAGAUUUUGUGUGACACCAUACCAGCACGUGGGCAGGACGUCGGUGGAUCCCGAGUGGCUGCACAAGUGAAACGGUGGAUGUGCUGCAGUAACGCUGAAGGAAUACCUGCCAGAAUGUGCAGCAUUUCUGCUCUUGCAGGACGGAUAAAACAUCUCCCCUGCUGCAUACAUGCAGUCUGGAGCCAGCAGGGAUGGGGCCAGCAGCUCCAGAGGGCACGUUUAGGAGAAGGACAUCCCUGCUCCGAGGUACACAAAUACUGA